AUUGAACGCUGGCGGCAUGCCUUACACAUGCAAGUCGAACGGUAACAGGUCGUCGGAUGCUGACGCGCGGCGAACGGGCGAGUAAUACAUCGGAACGUGCCCGAUCGUGGGGGUUAACGAGGCGAAAGCUUUGCUAAUACCACAUACGAUCUACGGACGAAAGCGGGGGAGCGUCGGACCACGCGCGGACGGAUCGGCCGGUGGCAGCUUAGGUAGUUGGUGGGGUAAACGCAUACGAAGCCGACGAUCUGUAGCGGGUCUGAGAGGAUGAGCAGCCACACUGGGACUGAGACACGGCCCAGACUCCUACGGGAGGCAGCAGUGGGGAAUUUUGGACAAUGGGCGAAAGCCUGAUCCAGCCAUGCCGCGUGCAGGAUGAAGGCCUUUGGGUUGUAAACUGCUUUUGUGCGGAGCGAAACGCCUCUUUCUAAUACAGAGGGGUCAUGACGGUACCGGAAGAAUAAGCACCGGCUAACUACGUG
Molecule: ribosomal RNA, 482 nt
Filed under: uncultured bacterium
Lineage: Bacteria
Description: partial 16S ribosomal RNA
Rfam family: Bacterial small subunit ribosomal RNA
Source: RNAcentral